CUGCGGUGAUGAUCAUCUUAGGACACCUUUGGAUUAAAGAUGAAACUAAUCUGUUUAGUCUGAGCAGC
RNAcentral lists this small nucleolar RNA (68 nucleotides) under Kryptolebias marmoratus (mangrove rivulus). RNAcentral describes it as "Small nucleolar RNA SNORD58 (ENSKMAG00000016304.1)". It matches the Rfam family "Small nucleolar RNA SNORD58". Rfam says of the family: snoRNA U58 is found in introns 1, 3 and 6 of the ribosomal protein RPL17 gene in humans. The record is from Rfam by way of RNAcentral. Lineage: Eukaryota; Metazoa; Chordata; Actinopteri; Cyprinodontiformes; Rivulidae.